Molecule: small RNA, 205 nt
Rfam family: Actinobacteria sRNA Ms_IGR-5
ACACAAGAGAGGAGGUGGUCUGAAGAAUGUAUGUUCAACGGAUGCGUGAGGUGGCUGCCCGCUAGCAGCACACCCUGCGGGAUUUCCCCAGCGGUGCGCUGAGCGCGAAUCCCAAGCAGUCACCCGACCCCCGAGCCCCCGGCAGAUCCAACCGGGACCGUCACGUUCCCUGGAACGCGACGAUAUGGCUCGGGGGUCGCUCCAU